RNAcentral lists this ribosomal RNA (697 nucleotides) under uncultured Gammaproteobacteria bacterium. RNAcentral describes it as "bacterial SSU rRNA". It matches the Rfam family "Bacterial small subunit ribosomal RNA", at positions 60 to 748 of the family's 1533-position model. Lineage: Bacteria; Pseudomonadati; Pseudomonadota; Gammaproteobacteria. The record is from RNAcentral.
AGUCGAGCGGUAACAGGAGUAGCUUGCUACUCGCUGACGAGCGGCGGACGGGUGAGUAACGCGUAGGAAUCUGCCUAAUAGUUGGGGAUAGCCCGGGGAAACCCGGAUUAAUACCGAAUACGCUCUACGGAGGAAAGCAGGGGAUCUUCGGACCUUGCGCUAUUAGAUGAGCCUGCGUGAGAUUAGCUAGUUGGUGAGGUAAUGGCUCACCAAGGCGACGAUCUCUAGCUGGUCUGAGAGGAUGAUCAGCCACACUGGGACUGAGACACGGCCCAGACUCCUACGGGAGGCAGCAGUGGGGAAUAUUGCACAAUGGGCGCAAGCCUGAUGCAGCCAUACCGCGUGUGUGAAGAAGGCCUUAGGGUUGUAAAGCACUUUCAGUAGUGAGGAAAGGGGUGUAGUUAAUACCUGCAUCCUGUGACGUUAGCUACAGAAGAAGCACCGGCUAAUUCCGUGCCAGCAGCCGCGGUAAUACGGAAGGUGCGAGCGUUAAUCGGAAUUACUGGGCGUAAAGCGCGCGUAGGUGGUUCAGUCAGUCAGAUGUGAAAGCCCCGGGCUCAACCUGGGAACUGCACCUGAUACUGCUGGACUUGAGUACGGUAGAGGGUAGUGGAAUUUCCUGUGUAGCGGUGAAAUGCGUAGAUAUAGGAAGGAACACCAGUGGCGAAGGCGACUACCUGGACCGAUACUGACACUG